GGCAAUGCAGAUGGAGAUACAAUGCAGACUGAGAGGCAAUACAGAUGGAGGGACAAUGCAGACGGAGUAACAAUGCAGACAGAUGCAGGCGGAAUUACAAUACAGACAUAAUGUAUGAUCUGAGUGAUAAUCUUGGGUGCUCCCAAAUCAACAUUACACAGGACACAUUUAAAAGAGAUCUAGAUUAGAGAAUGUUUGGUAGGUUACAUUUAAAAGAUCUAGAUUAGGGAAUGUUUGGUAGGACACAUUUAAAAGAGAUCUAGAUUAGGGAAUGUUUGGUAGGACACAUUUAAAAGAGAUCUAGAUUAGAGAAUGUUUGGUAGGUUACAUUUAAAAGAUCUAGAAUAGAGAAUGUUUGGUAGAUCUAGAUUAGGGAAUGUUUGGUGGAACACUAGAGUUCCCCAAGGCACAGCAGUUGAAAACCACUG
Oncorhynchus tshawytscha (Chinook salmon) is the source of this 428-nucleotide long non-coding RNA. The record is from Ensembl. NCBI's taxonomy places the organism in Eukaryota, Metazoa, Chordata, Actinopteri, Salmoniformes, Salmonidae.